GAGGUCUCUGGCUCAUACCCGACCACAGCCGCGGAAUCAUAAUCCGUCGGUGCCGAGUUCGACUCUCGGGGGGCGCCA
This 78-nucleotide transfer RNA is filed under the name Zoogloea oryzae. RNAcentral's name for it is "tRNA-Met". Lineage: Bacteria; Pseudomonadati; Pseudomonadota; Betaproteobacteria; Rhodocyclales; Zoogloeaceae. The record is from RNAcentral.